GAGGACGUAGAGCAGCUCCCACUCGCCCUGGUUCAGGAAGACGUUCCUGUCAAACUUCACCCGCUCCGGCUGCCGCCACAGCGAGAGGUUGAGGUCGCGGACUGGGGCAGAAGAGGGGAAACCAGUCCUUGCAAGGAAGUGACAAACGCGAUGGCAAACUUGCAAUUCAUCGAUGACAACAUUUGGAGCCCAGAUAACGCUGAGCAGCAGCGAAAUCUCCCUCAUCCCGUCCAGAGGCUGAAAUUCCAGACCUUCGCGUGAGUGGAGCCUUCAUGCAGCAGUAAGGAAAGAGAGGAGCUUUUAUUAAAAAAGGAAAUACGGUGAGUAAGAAUAAUGUAACAAUCCUUUAAAUCCAGUGUGCACAUUGCUCCCUGCUUUCAGGUGUGCUAGAAUAGCCCAAAGCAGGAGAGGAAAAAGAGCUAGGCCAUGCAAAUUUGUAUGUAUUCGGUGCGUUCUGUCGUUUGGGAUUCACUCUGGAAUUUCAUCGUAUCGUUUUGGUUUGCCAAGAUGAAAAGUAACAGCAGAAAAUGUGGUUUCAAAAUGUGCUGAAACUAGAAAGCGUGGCACGUACGCACUUCUCUUCACUUUUAAAGCAAUGACAGUGCAAAUUGGUUGCUUUCUUUCGAUAAAGUAAGGCUUACGCAUGGGAGGAUCUUGGGGUUCGUUACGCAAAACGGGGGCAAGGGCAGAUCUCCAGUUCCCACUCACUAUUCAUCUGAGUGUAGGAUCCUCGCUGCAGUAAAUUAUCUUCGAUGUAAUGGCACUUUGACUGCACUUGACACUGCAAACGAAUCACCAGUAUCUGUCCUGCACCCUAAUUAGUGACUGUGACAUCCAUCAGGCUGCUAAACAUAAUACAUACACUCAGCAAACCCUGAGCUAAAAAUAUGAGGCUGAGUUUAUAUUUGUAAUCAGGAUAUUAAUAAUUUUUCAGAGGGAGUUGUCUCAGCUGCUUUAGGCAGCCACUUGGGUUAAAUCUCCACGCAUAUAGAUUUUCCUGCUCGUAAAACACAAUAAGUGACCUCAAGCUAGGUGUGUUUUUUAUGACAUGACAGGUAGAAAUUCCCUGUCUUUUCAGUGAUGGGGCUGCUCCUCCUGCCUUUAAUCUGUCUUAUUACAGGACCAGCAGUGCCCUGGCCAGAUCAGCCCAGGCCCGAGGACGUGCA
Dromaius novaehollandiae (emu) is the source of this 1166-nucleotide long non-coding RNA. RefSeq lists it as uncharacterized. The record is from RefSeq and is a predicted model, not a curated record. NCBI's taxonomy places the organism in Eukaryota, Metazoa, Chordata, Aves, Casuariiformes, Dromaiidae. The transcript is spliced from 3 exons.